Molecule: long non-coding RNA, 909 nt
Organism: Folsomia candida
Lineage: Eukaryota; Metazoa; Arthropoda; Collembola; Entomobryomorpha; Isotomidae
Exons: 3
Source: RefSeq, a predicted model, not a curated record
CUGAGACGUCAACUUAUUAGUUUAAAUUCUUUGCAACAAUACAUUCUCGGUUAAUAUGUAUUAGUUAAACAACUAUUUAUAAGAGCCCCAGUGGAUUAGAAUCAUUACCCAUAAAUAUAUCAUUAAAUUCAAUUCGCGUUUUUAUCCCACCCGACUAAAAACCUUUCCAACCUUAGAAGUUUCUAAAUUCAAGGGAAAAUAAUGAAGCCAACGACUGAAAAGAACUGGAAGUGCGACAAGUGUUCAAAACUAUUUGUACGAAAGCGGAAUCUCGACCUUCAUGCCAUCACUCAUGAGACCAACUCUCAAGUCAAAUGUGAGAGAACUCACCUGGCGAAGGCUGAACGACCAGUGUUUACAUGCCGAUUAUGUCCUCUCACUUUCUACUCCGCACAAGGGAUUUGGUGCCACGUUAAGAAUUAUCACGAUCGGAACCAAUAUUUGUGUCCGAUUUGUGACAAAAAUCUAAGUAGUGCUUACAGGUUGAAGUAUCACAUCAGAGCACGCCAUCCGACAAAUGAGGCGCCGACUUACUUCUGCCAGUAUUGCGAAUAUCAAAGCAGAAUCAAGGAAAACUUAACGAGUCACGUGACACGGGUGCACGUGGGUGUGAAGGGAAGGGAAUGCUAUUUUUGCGGGAACAAGUUUUACAAUUUUGCCCAAUUGGCCAGUCACUGUAACCGGAUUCACACUCUUGAAAAAUAAUUUCAUUGAUUUCAUUCGAUUAGAAAAAAAUUGUCAUAUGUAUUUGUUCAUUAUUUUCUGAAUUAAUUAAUUUUGUGCUAAUUAAUAUUUGUAUUAAUUAAUUUUACUUUGUUCCAUAAUUGGCUUUUUCGUUUGUGCAGAAUGUUAACUCAAGUCGUCCGUAUGUCAUGCGUCAGAAAAACUUAAUACAUACUUACAUAGAUA